Molecule: small RNA, 638 nt
Filed under: Pan troglodytes (chimpanzee)
Lineage: Eukaryota; Metazoa; Chordata; Mammalia; Primates; Hominidae
Description: processed transcript
Source: RNAcentral
UCCUCUUUCCCAUCUUCCCAUAGAUGCAAGCCUCCCCUAUCCAGCCCCAUUCUAGAACUGCAUUCAGAGGACACACUUCAGAUGGAUGGACACAUACUGGAUUCAAAGAGAUAUGCCGUUAUUGGAGCAGAUCUCCGAGACCUGUCUGAACUGGAAGAGAAGCUAAAGAAAUGUAACAUGAAUACACAAUUGCCAACACUCCUGAUAGCUGAAUGUGUGCUGGUUUACAUGACUCCAGAGCAGUCCGCAAACCUCCUGAAGUGGGCAGCCAACAGUUUUGAGAGAGCCAUGUUCAUAAACUACGAACAGGUGAACAUGGGUGAUCGGUUUGGGCAGAUCAUGAUUGAAAACCUGCGGAGACGCCAGUGUGACCUGGCGGGAGUGGAGACCUGCAAGUCAUUAGAGUCACAGAAAGAACGGCUCCUGUCGAAUGGGUGGGAAACAGCAUCGGCCGUCGACAUGAUGGAGUUGUACAACAGGUUACCUCGAGCUGAAGAUAGAAUCACUUGAAUUCCUGGAUGAAAUGGAGCUGCUGGAGCAGCUCAUGCGGCAUUACUGCCUUUGCUGGGCAACCAAAGGAGGAAAUGAGCUUGGGCUGAAGGAGAUAACUUAUUAAUCUGUCGAAGGCUUAUGCCGAG